Molecule: transfer RNA, 76 nt
Filed under: Fidelibacterota bacterium MT.SAG.4
Lineage: Bacteria; Pseudomonadati; Fidelibacterota
Also listed under: 1 other name
Description: Candidatus Marinimicrobia bacterium MT.SAG.4 tRNA-Thr
Rfam family: tRNA
About the family: Transfer RNA (tRNA) molecules are approximately 80 nucleotides in length. Their secondary structure includes four short double-helical elements and three loops (D, anti-codon, and T loops). Further hydrogen bonds mediate the characteristic L-shaped molecular structure. tRNAs have two regions of fundamental functional importance: the anti-codon, which is responsible for specific mRNA codon recognition, and the 3' end, to which the tRNAs corresponding amino acid is attached (by aminoacyl-tRNA synthetases). tRNAs cope with the degeneracy of the genetic code in two manners: having more than one tRNA (with a specific anti-codon) for a particular amino acid; and 'wobble' base-pairing, i.e. permitting non-standard base-pairing at the 3rd anti-codon position.
Source: RNAcentral
GCCACCCUAGCUCAGUUGGUAGAGCAGCCGCCUCGUAAGCGGCAGGUCGUCGGUUCGACUCCGAUGGGUGGCUCAA